AUGGCACGCUGCAUACUCAAGGCAAAGCAGGUGCCGAGCACGUACUGGGGGGAGGCCGUGCUCACAGCCGUCUUCAUCCUCAACCGCUCUUUCACAAGGAGUGUCGACGGCAAGACACCUUACGAGGCGUGGUAUGGGAGGAAGCUCGACAUACGCUUCCUCUGCACCUUUGGUUGCGUCGGGCACGUCAAGAGGACGCGCCCUCAGGUGAAGAAGCUCGACGACAGGAGCACCCCGAUGGUGUUCAUGGGCUACGAGACGGGCUCCAAGGCGUACAAGAUGUACGACCCUGUCGCGAAGCGUGUGCAUGUCUCGUGUGACGUCAUCUUUGACGAAGACACGCGAUGGACUUGGGAGGCGUCGGGGGAGUCCCCAGCAAGCAGCUCCUUCACCGUGGAGUACCCGAUGUACUCUACAACCCCGGGAAGCAAGACCCCGGGAAGCCCGGCAGGUGUGGAUCCGGGAACUGCAACCCCAAGAACACCGUCCCCAAGCACAGCAUCCCCAGACACCCUGUCGUCAAGCAAGGUGGUUCCCGGGAGGCUGUUUGCAACCCCGCCAACAGCAAGGUUGGGGUUGUUCGACGCCGACGAUGGCGUUGGCGCCCCCCACAUGUUUCGACGCAUGGGGGAUCUCCUCGGCGAGGCUGCGGCAACACCGCAACAGCCCAAGGACGAAGACAUUGAUGACGACGACGUCCUGCAUCUGAUGGCCGGCGAGGAGCCAACCACGUUCGCGGAGGCCGAGCAAGAGGAUUGCUGGUGCCGCGCGACGAGCUGGCGUCGAUCAACGACAACGCCACUUGGACACUCACCACUUUACCUGUUGGGCAUCGAGCCAUCGGGCUUAAGUGGGUGUUCAAGGUGA
This 867-nucleotide ribosomal RNA is filed under the name Triticum aestivum (bread wheat). RNAcentral's name for it is "partial small subunit ribosomal RNA". Lineage: Eukaryota; Viridiplantae; Streptophyta; Magnoliopsida; Poales; Poaceae. The record is from RNAcentral.